GCCCGUCAGUCUACCAACCCGUCGAAAAAUUACCCCAGACUUCAAAAUCAGGGACAAAACACCUAAAUUCGGAACAAGAUCUACCGGCGACCAAAAAACCAACGAAACCCGCCGGAACACCGGUCAAAUUCGCUGGAUCAGUCGUCAGAAAACCUCAAAAUGGUGCGCCACCGCUGAUCCUAAUCGAAUUUUCACCGGCGACCAAAAUCCGUACCCUUUUUCGACUAAUCAGCCGGCCUCGCAUCGGCGUCACCAUCCCUUCUCCCCUUCCCCGACGACCAAAUGGAUGGAUUUGCCUUUUUCCAUCAUAAAUGUCAAUAUUCCGGUGGCUAUUCCGCCGGAAAAACUCAAAAUUGCUAACCAUAUUCAUCACCACCGGUGAAGCCCCCCGCGCCGCCUCCCUUUCUCCAUACCGCCGCCGCUCCUCUCUCCCAGAUCUGGCCAAAAAGGCCAUUCUCUGGUGACCCGUCA
RNAcentral lists this long non-coding RNA (471 nucleotides) under Capsicum annuum. Its description in RNAcentral is "long non-coding RNA (CANN_LNC015989)". Lineage: Eukaryota; Viridiplantae; Streptophyta; Magnoliopsida; Solanales; Solanaceae. The record is from RNAcentral.